UGGGGUAUAUUGCACAAUGGGGGAAACCCUGAUGCAGCGACGCCGCGUGAGCGAAGAAGUCUUUCGAGUCGUAAAGCUCUGUCCUAAGAGAAGAUAAUGACGGUAUCAUAGGAGGAAGCCCUGGCUAAAUACGUGCCAGCAGCCGCGGUAAUACGUAUGGGGCGAGCGUUGUCCGGAAUUAUUGGGCGUAAAGGGUACGUAGGUGGUUUUUUAAGUCAGGUGUCAAAGCGUGGAGCUUAACUCCAUUAAGCACUUGAAACUGAAAGACUUGAGUGAAGGAGAGGAAAGUGGAAUUCCUAGUGUGGCGGUGAUAUUCGUAGAUAUUAGGAGGAAUACCGGUGACGAAGGCGGCUUUCUGGACUUUUACUGACGCUCAGGUACGAAAGAGUGGGGAGCAAACAGG
This 403-nucleotide ribosomal RNA is filed under the name Verrucomicrobiota bacterium. RNAcentral describes it as "Verrucomicrobia bacterium partial 16S ribosomal RNA". It matches the Rfam family "Bacterial small subunit ribosomal RNA", at positions 355 to 776 of the family's 1533-position model. The record is from RNAcentral. Lineage: Bacteria; Pseudomonadati; Verrucomicrobiota.